This 486-nucleotide ribosomal RNA is filed under the name uncultured bacterium. RNAcentral describes it as "partial 16S ribosomal RNA". It matches the Rfam family "Bacterial small subunit ribosomal RNA", at positions 30 to 507 of the family's 1533-position model. The record is from RNAcentral.
AUUGAACGCUGGCGGCAUGCCUUACACAUGCAAGUCGAACGGCAGCACGGGUGCUUGCACCUGGUGGCGAGUGGCGAACGGGUGAGUAAUACAUCGGAACAUGUCCUGUAGUGGGGGAUAGCCCGGCGAAAGCCGGAUUAAUACCGCAUACGAUCUACGGAUGAAAGCGGGGGACCUUCGGGCCUCGCGCUAUAGGGUUGGCCGAUGGCUGAUUAGCUAGUUGGUGGGGUAAAGGCCUACCAAGGCGACGAUCAGUAGCUGGUCUGAGAGGACGACCGGCCACACUGGAACUGGGACACGGCCCAGACUCCUACGGGAGGCAGCAGUGGGGAAUUUUGGACAAUGGGCGAAAGCCUGAUCCAGCAAUGCCGCGUGUGUGAAGAAGGCCUUCGGGUUGUAAAGCACUUUUGUCCGGAAAGAAAUCCUUGGCUCUAAUACAGUCGGGGGAUGACGGUACCGGAAGAAUAAGCACCGGCUAACUACGUG